This 100-nucleotide non-coding RNA is filed under the name Bacillus sp. (in: firmicutes). Its description in RNAcentral is "Bacillus sp. Guanine sequence". It matches the Rfam family "Purine riboswitch aptamer". Rfam says of the family: Riboswitches are metabolite binding domains within certain messenger RNAs that serve as precision sensors for their corresponding targets. The record is from RNAcentral. Lineage: Bacteria; Bacillati; Bacillota; Bacilli; Caryophanales; Bacillaceae.
ACCUAAUGAAAUACUUUCAUUCGUAUAACUCCAAUAAUAUGGUUUGGAGGUCUCUACCAGGAACCAAUAAUUCCUGAUUACGAAGAAGAUACAUGUGCUG